Molecule: non-coding RNA, 74 nt
Organism: Gammaproteobacteria bacterium
Lineage: Bacteria; Pseudomonadati; Pseudomonadota; Gammaproteobacteria
Source: Rfam
GGGCUCAUAGCUCAGUUGGUUAGAGCAGGGGACUCAUAAUCCCUUGGUCCUAGGUUCGAGUCCUAGUGGGCCCA